GUGCCAGCAGCCGCGGUAAUACAGAGGUCCCAAGCGUUGUUCGGAUUUACUGGGCGUAAAGGGUGCGUAGGUGGCGCCUCAAGUUUGAUGUGAAAGCUCAGGGCUUAACCCUGAAAUGGCAUUGAAUACUGAGGUGCUGGAGGUUUGGAGGGGGGACUGGAAUUCUCGGUGUAGCAGUGAAAUGCGUAGAUAUCGAGAGGAACACCAGUGGCGAAGGCGAGUCCCUGGACAACACCUGACACUGAGGCACGAAAGCCGGGGGAGCAAACAGGAUUAGAUACCCCUGUAGUCC
RNAcentral lists this ribosomal RNA (292 nucleotides) under uncultured bacterium. RNAcentral's name for it is "partial 16S ribosomal RNA". It matches the Rfam family "Bacterial small subunit ribosomal RNA", at positions 505 to 796 of the family's 1533-position model. The record is from RNAcentral.